UUGGAUAUGUGAUAAUCUCAUUCCAACUUAAAGUCUCUCACUGAAUAUUUGAGAAUAAUAACAGAUCAGCUAUUCUG
Aotus nancymaae (Ma's night monkey) is the source of this 77-nucleotide small nucleolar RNA. Its record names the gene SNORD81. It matches the Rfam family "Small nucleolar RNA SNORD81". From Rfam's summary of the family: U81 is a member of the C/D class of snoRNA which contain the C (UGAUGA) and D (CUGA) box motifs. U81 acts as a guanine methylation guide and is found in intron 11 of the gas5 gene in mammals. Lineage: Eukaryota; Metazoa; Chordata; Mammalia; Primates; Aotidae. The record is from Ensembl.